CCGGGCCAGCUCCCCGGGGCGGCGGCGUCGGGGCGGCUGGCGGCUCGCCGGGGCCGGAGCCGGAGCCGGGGCCGGGGCGGCAUGGUGGCUUCAGCGCGGCGGGCAUGGCAUGGCCGCUCCCCCUGCCGCGCCGCCGGCCGCCCGCUGCCGCCUUCCUCCUGCCCGCGCCGCUGUCGCUGCUUCUGCUGCCCACGGGAGUCGGACGCGACGGGACGGGACGCGCCGAGGCCGCUGCAGUCGCUCGCUGUCGCCGCCGCCGCCGCUUCUCCCGCUGCUGCCUCGCCCGCCGGCCCGGCCCGCCUCCGCCUCCUGGCCGCCUCCGCCUCCUCCCCCAAGCCCGUCGGGGCGCGCCGCCAGCAUUCCUCCAGCGCUCGCCGCGCCAGGAAGGCAGGCCUGGCCAGGAGGACGGCUCUACGGGCGCCCCAGCCGGCCGGGCGGCCCCUCAGCCCGCCACGCAGUCCUCCGCGGCUCGGCUGCCCUGGCCCGGGCGGGCGACGGGCGUCCCGUGCAGCCGACGUCCCGCCGACAGAUGUUCGCGCCAGGCCCCGGGAACCGGAGCGGCCGUUUGGGGCUCCUCCAAGCUGGGGAGCGGAGGCUGGUGGCGGGCGGCUGGCACAAACGCGGUAGCGCCGAGCGUCGUCGCUGCCCGUGGGCGAGCGUGGCUCUUCGCCAGCAGGGACCCCGUCCCCGCCGUCACUGGUAGCACUAGAGCGUUUGGCUUGGCUUCCCCCGAACUCGCGGUCUAUUGCUGCGGUCAGCUGCAUUGGGGGGGGGGGCUUCUCAGCCUGGCUGAGCCCCCGCCCAGCACCGCCACAGGAGAGCCCUGGGCUGUGUGUCCUCAGCCAUGGAGAUGGCACCCCCGGGCCCCCACGUUGCCCCAGGCUCUCGCCCACCCCUUCUGCACCUCCCACCUUGCGCCUUCCACAUGGGUGGUGGGCUGCCUUUGGAGCCAGAGAGGGAAGGGGGGGCGAGGGUGUGCCGUGGGCUAUAACCCCCGCACCUCUAGCAUCGGGGCGGAAGCACGCGCUGCACCCACAGGCCUUUGCGCUGGCUCUUGGCGUGGGAGCAGAUGUGGGACCCUGGUGGGCAGACGCAGUUCCGCUGGCUAUGGCUGCCGCCUGGCAACAAGGGAGUGCUGCUCUGAGGGACUCUUGCCCAGGCCCUUUUCAGCCUGCCGGAAACGCAGCCGGAAGCUGCCCGUUUUCGGUGUGGGCAGGAACUGUGCUCCUGAACUGCUCCUCGCUCUCCUCCCCCCGAGCAUCGGUGCUUGCAGGGAGCGAGGCGGCGCCCCAGACCCCACCGUGGGAGCACAAGAUUGUGGCUGAUGGGAAAGGUGCCC
This 1339-nucleotide long non-coding RNA is filed under the name Salvator merianae (Argentine black and white tegu). Its description in RNAcentral is "lncRNA (ENSSMRG00000016902.1)". The record is from RNAcentral. Lineage: Eukaryota; Metazoa; Chordata; Lepidosauria; Squamata; Teiidae.